Molecule: long non-coding RNA, 835 nt
Filed under: Mytilus galloprovincialis (Mediterranean mussel)
Lineage: Eukaryota; Metazoa; Mollusca; Bivalvia; Mytilida; Mytilidae
Source: RNAcentral
GUUAAUGUGAUUGAAGAAAACUUGUUACUUCUGAAAACAUAACAGCCCCCAAUUACACGUAUCAUGAAAUACUCCGCAAUGUACAGCUUGAUACUAUGAUAAGGGGUGAACUCUAAUCAGUUGGAGCUAGUAUGAAACAACAUUCAAGCAUGAUACAGCUCUGAAUUUAGAAUGUGAUUAAAUACUUGUAUACAUGCUGUCAAAGGCAGAAAGUGGUUUCAGAAUUUAAAAUGUUUUAAUUGAGCAUUUGCCUAUUAUGUCUCAUUAUCAUAAAUCUAAAUACAUGUUAUAUUUAGCAUACCAAAGAACCCCCGGAUUAGAAUUUUUGAUUAAAUCGCAUAAAGUUUAAUUUUUGACACCUAUGACAUCCAUGUGUACUUAUUGUGUUAACGCGACAAAAUAGUUUGCGAUUAUAAACUAGAGGCUCUUAAGAGCCUGUGUCGCUCACCUUGGUCUAUGUGCAUAUUAAACAAAGGACACAGAUGGAUUCAUGACAAAAUUGUGUUUUGGUGAUGGUGAUGUGUUUGUAGAUCUUACUUUAUUGAACAUUCUUGCUUCUUACAAUUAUCUCAAUUUAUAAUGAACUUGGUCCAUUGUGUUACAGAGGAAAAUAUUUUUUGUACAAAAUUUACAAAAUUUACAAAAAUUUACAAAAUUUACAAAAUUAUUAAAAAUUGACUAUAAAGGGCAAUAACUCCUUAAGGGGUCAACUGACCUUUUUGGUCAUUUGACUUAUUUGUGGAUCUUACUUUGCUGAACAUUAUUGCUGUUUACAGUUUAUCUCUAUCUAUAAUAAUAUUCCAGAUAAUAACCAAAAACAGCAAAAUUUCCUUAA